CAGAGUGACAGGUGGUGCAUGGUUGUCGUCAGCUCGUGUCGUGAGAUGUUGGGUUAAGUCCCGCAACGAGCGCAACCCUUGAUCUUAGUUGCCAUCAUUAAGUUGGGCACUCUAAGGUGACUGCCGGUGACAAACCGGAGGAAGGUGGGGAUGACGUCAAAUCAUCAUGCCCCUUAUGACCUGGGCUACACACGUGCUACAAUGGACGGUACAAAGAGCUGCAAGACCGC
Molecule: ribosomal RNA, 230 nt
Filed under: Bacillus sp. (in: firmicutes)
Lineage: Bacteria; Bacillati; Bacillota; Bacilli; Caryophanales; Bacillaceae
Description: Bacillus sp. (in: Bacteria) partial 16S ribosomal RNA
Rfam family: Bacterial small subunit ribosomal RNA
Source: RNAcentral